RNAcentral lists this transfer RNA (49 nucleotides) under Geckolepis maculata. Its description in RNAcentral is "partial tRNA-His". The record is from RNAcentral. Lineage: Eukaryota; Metazoa; Chordata; Lepidosauria; Squamata; Gekkonidae.
CGUCAGUAUAGUUUAACCAAAACAUUAAACUGUGAAUUUAAUAAUAAGG